RNAcentral lists this non-coding RNA (18 nucleotides) under Arabidopsis thaliana (thale cress). The record is from RNAcentral. Lineage: Eukaryota; Viridiplantae; Streptophyta; Magnoliopsida; Brassicales; Brassicaceae.
UAAGAGGUGUUAUUAGUC